RNAcentral lists this ribosomal RNA (325 nucleotides) under uncultured eukaryote. RNAcentral describes it as "partial 18S ribosomal RNA". It matches the Rfam family "Eukaryotic small subunit ribosomal RNA", at positions 1470 to 1796 of the family's 1831-position model. The record is from RNAcentral.
CCCUUAGAUGUUCUGGGCCGCACGCGCGCUACACUGAUGCAUUCAACGAGUCUAAAACCUGGUCUGAUAGGGCUGGGUAAUCUUUUGAAAGUGCAUCGUGAUUGGGAUAGAUGAUUGCAAUUCUUCAUCUUCAACGAGGAAUGCCUAGUAAACGCAAGUCAUCAGCUUGCAUUGAUUACGUCCCUGCCCUUUGUACACACCGCCCGUCGCACCUACCGGUUGAAUGGUCCGGUGAAAUCUCCGGACUGGCGUGAGUCGGAGCAAUCUGACAAACACCGGAAAGUUGAUUAAACCUUACCAUUUAGAGGAAGGUGAAGUCGUAACA